AUCCAGCUGACGAGUCCCGAAUAGGACGAAGUGGGUGUUAUCCUGGAU
This 48-nucleotide non-coding RNA is filed under the name Trichobilharzia regenti. The record is from RNAcentral. Lineage: Eukaryota; Metazoa; Platyhelminthes; Trematoda; Strigeidida; Schistosomatidae.